This 468-nucleotide ribosomal RNA is filed under the name uncultured bacterium. RNAcentral's name for it is "partial 16S ribosomal RNA". It matches the Rfam family "Bacterial small subunit ribosomal RNA", at positions 28 to 507 of the family's 1533-position model. The record is from RNAcentral.
GACGAACGCUGGCGGCGUGCUUAACACAUGCAAGUCGAACGGACAGGCCCUGCUUUUGUGGGGUGCUCGAGUGGCGAACGGGUGAGUAACACGUGAGUAACCUGCCCUUGACUUUGGGAUAACUUCAGGAAACUGGGGCUAAUACCGGAUAGGAGCUCCUGCUGCAUGGUGGGGGUUGGAAAGUUUCGGCGGUUGGGGAUGGACUCGCGGCUUAUCAGCUUGUUGGUGAGGUAGUGGCUUACCAAGGCUUUGACGGGUAGCCGGCCUGAGAGGGUGACCGGCCACAUUGGGACUGAGAUACGGCGCAGACUCCUACGGGAGGCAGCAGUGGGGAAUAUUGCAGAAUGGGCGGAAGCCUGAGGCAGCAACGCCGCGUGCGGGAUGACGGCCUUCGGGUUGUAAACCGCUUUCGACGGUGACGAAGCGGGAGUGACGGUAAUGGGUAAAGAAGCACCGGCUAACUACGUG